Molecule: long non-coding RNA, 2059 nt
Organism: Planococcus citri (citrus mealybug)
Lineage: Eukaryota; Metazoa; Arthropoda; Insecta; Hemiptera; Pseudococcidae
Exons: 4
Source: RefSeq, a predicted model, not a curated record
CACGACUAAAGCUGCCGCUCUUCUCUUUGUACAUAAGCCAAAGCCGAGUUCCCGUCGAGUCGAAUACUUCGAGCAUUCGGUUAAUAAAGGGCAAAAAAUUGUAAAUAUUAACCAAAAAAACCAGUUGUCGAUGCAGAAAUACGAAAAAAUUUCAUCGACUAGAUCAGCACAGCAGCGUUGUUCGGGCAUCGUGUGGUAAUGGUAACGUACGAGGUCGACUUAUAUCGUAUCUUCUAUAUGCUCGUGCAAUACGUAGACCUAUCUACGUCAUUAAUUGAAAUUACGGCGAACGUACAGCAGCACAGAUCAACACUGUAAGCAGAAGCACAUCUACAAGUAUAAUAAUUUUGAUAAGGAGUAAAUUCGAAUUCGAAUGAUAAAAAUCAAUGUAAAAAUAUGUGCUCUUCACUCGAGAGCGUUAUCAUCGCAAGCAACGCGGAUUACGUCAUCUUCUCGAGAGGCGAACGGAUGCAGAACGCAACCAUCGUGUACCAGCGAGUCGAUAAAAUUGCCUAUUCGGCGCCGUAAAUCCGAACACCGGGUCACCGGAUCGUCGCAGCGAGCUAGCUGCAUUUUUCAACCAGGAUAAUGAUAAUGGUCCCAUGGAGGACCUCUAUAUUUUUAUCCACGUGUUUAUCCAUCUCAGGUGCACUGAGAGAAUUAAAGAGUGUUCUGGGAUGCUGCUGUUUCCGACGACGUUUCGCUUCAGGUUUCAGUCAACGGAAUGAAUUCCAAGUUCUUGGAUUCGGAUCUUCGAUGCUCAUUGGCUUCGCAGCUUUCGAGAAUGUGCCUUUCAAUACGUUGGAUUCUUGGAUAAUUCUGGUCUUCGGAGUUCUCGGAUGUUGUUCUGUAAAACCGUAUAUAAAACGUAAGCGAGCAGCCUCCAAAUCAAAUUCGUCAAAAACUUGCAGACUUCAUUUUUCCUUUUGGCACAUAAUCGCUGGGUCAUUCAGCAUUCCACAUUCAAAUGAGCCAUAUCUGCCUUCAAGUGCUCUAUUUUAGCUAAAUAUGGGUUACUCUAGCUGGAUGAAAUCAAGCCACAAGAGAUGUACUCAACACGAAGAUCUUUUCAACAAAAAAAUGAAUUUUCAAUGAAAAUACUCAAGUCAGAAAAUUAUUCAAGGAGGCUAAAUAACAUCACAAUCAAGCAACCCUGCAACAGUAACGCGAAUAAUUGCAACAAUUUGUAAAUUUUUUCAAAUCACUUCGUAUUCGAAAUUUGGACAGCAGACAUUGAUAACUUCCAUCUUCAACUCCAAUUUAAAAUGUAAAAAAAAAAAAAUGGCAAUAAAAUUAGACAUUUAUUUUCUUACUUUACUUCGAAAUUUCUGCAAACCUAUCGAUCAAGUAAAAACUUGAAAAGUAAAUUUUUCUUCUAAUUUUUUCAACUCGCGAAAUAAAUAAUUAACAUUACGAACUCGGUAAUUAUCUUUUUUCAUACGUUAUUUCGAAUGUUUCGAUAGUACGUAUAAAUUGGCAAUUGUUAGAAAAAUCAAUCAAAAAACAAAAAUCGAUCGCCGUUUCUUUUUUUUUCGCUAAUACAUACUCGAAGUGAUAAAAUUUAAACCUUUUGUAAAAAGUAGGUCAAGGUGAUGACGAAAAAAAAAUUUCAAUUUACGAAUAGUAAACGAGACAAGACGAUAAAGUGAACGAGGAAUAAUACAAUAUUAACAGUCUCUUUUUAGUAUACCGCAAUAAAAUUUUUCUGCAGAAUAGGUCACGUCGAUUGCACAUGCACAUUUGAAAAAAAUUCAUUAGUCUGGUUAAUUUUGAAAAAAAAAACUGGAAUAAAAUGAAAUUAUAAACCCAAAAGUACAUACUUCCUCUUCACAUAUUCGUAUCUCAACUCAAACCACAACACACUGACUGGAAAGUGGAAAAGGAAUCUCGAUGGAUCUAAAUACCUCACAAGCAGCUCAACGAACAACACAAUACGAUCGUAAAUUUGAAAUUUACGGCGAGCACCUGCUGGGUUUAGCAAUAUAACGCAAUCAUCAACAGAUUUUAAAUUUUUUCAAACGUGAUAUUAAUUCAAAAAUGUAAUAAAUCAACUUCCUAU